Non-coding RNA from Nitrospirae bacterium RIFCSPLOWO2_02_42_7, 74 nucleotides. The record is from Rfam. Lineage: Bacteria; Pseudomonadati; Nitrospirota.
GGGCCCAUAGCUCAGAUUGGUAGAGCUACCGGCUCAUAACCGGUUGGUCCCAGGUUCAAGUCCUGGUGGGCCCA